This is a long non-coding RNA of Phasianus colchicus (ring-necked pheasant), 2488 nucleotides long. Lineage: Eukaryota; Metazoa; Chordata; Aves; Galliformes; Phasianidae. The record is from Ensembl.
CAGACGGAGCUGCGCGAGGCCGACGCUGUGUUCUGGGCGGCCCCCCGGCGCUAUGGGGCGCCCCACAGCCGCCUGCUGCGCGCCGCCCCGCUGCCCCGCCUGGUGCGGCACCUGCUGGAGAGCCGCGCGCUGGGCGACGGCGCCUUCGUCCCCGCCUUCCUCGGCACCUUCCGGGCCUUCGCGCGGCCCCACGACGUCCUGCGCCUCCUGCUGCAGCGGAUGGAGGAACUGGGGGGGCUCUCGGGGGACCCCGACACCCCAGCGGCGGCUGAGGCCAAGCGGGCGCUGGCGGAGCUGCUGCCCCGCUGGCUGCAGGAUUACCCCGAGGAUUUUGGGGACGCGGCGGCGGCGGCGCUGGCGGAGCGUUUGGGGUCGGCUUUGGGGCCGGAUUCGGACGUGGGGCUGCGGCUGCGGGAGCUGCGGGAUCCCCCCGAGCCCCCCGAGCCCCCCGGGGACCCUUAUGGGGUCGGGGACGGGGACGGGGACGCCGACCCGCUGGAGAUCCUGUCCUUCCAGGCGCAGGAGGUGGCCGAGCAGCUCACGCUGACCGAGGCGGUGAGACCCCACAGCCGCCCCACAUCCCAAAUCCACGGGGCCCCGUAGCCCAGUGUCCCCAUGUCCCCAUAUCUCCAUGUUCCCGUAUCCCAGUGUCCCCAUGUCCCCAUAUCUCCAUGUCCCCAUAUCCCAGUGUCCCCACGUCCCCAUAUCUCCAUGUUCCCGUAUCCCAAUGUCUCAUUGUCCCCAUAACUCCAUUGUCCCCAUGUCCCCAUGUUCCCAUAUUCUAUUGUUUUCAUGUGCCAUUGUUCCCAUGUCCCAAUGUUCCCAUAUCCCAAUAAUCUUCCAUUGUCCCCACAUCCCAAUGUCCCCAUAUCCCCAUGUCCCCAUUGUCCCCGUAUCCCAAUGUCCCCAUAACCCCAUAUCUCCACCAUCCCAAUAUCCCCAAACCCCCAUAUCCCCCCAUCCCAAUGCCCCCAUAACCCCAUNNNNNNNNNNNNNNNNNNNNNNNNNNNNNNNNNNNNNNNNNNNNNNNNNNNNNNNNNNNNNNNNNNNNNNNNNNNNNNNNAGUGUUUGGGGUCCCUGUGGUCGCAGCGGGACAAAAAGGGGCGGCGCUGCGGCUGUCCGUCUGUCCGCGCCACCGUCCGCCACUUCAACCGCGUGGCCGCCGCCGUCGUCACCUCCUGCCUGGGGGGCGCCGGGCUGCGACCCCCCCAGAGGGCGCGGCUGCUGGAGAAGUGGAUCAGGGUGGCACAGGAGUGCCGCGCUCUGCGCAAUUUCUCGUCGCUGUGCGCCGUCAUCUCAGCCCUGCAGUCCAACCCCAUCCAUCGCCUGCGCCUCGUCUGGGGGGAGAUCAGCCGGUAGGGGGGCGUGGGGNNNNNNNNNNNNNACAUGGGGACACAGGGACACGGGGACACGGGGACACGGGGACAUGGGGACAUGGGGACAUGGGGACACGGGGACAUGGGGACACAGGGACACGGGGACACGGGGACACGGGGACACGGGGACAUGGGGACACGGGGACACGGUGCCCGGCCCCCGCAGCGAUGCGCAGCGCAGCUACGAGGAGCUCCGCGCGCUCUGCUCCGAGCAGGACAACUUCAGCGCCAGCCGCCGCCUGCUGCUCACGGUGGGGACGCGGCCCCGGCCCCAUGUCCCCAACCCGGCCCCAUGUCCCCAACCCCAUCCCUGCAUCCCCAACCCCGUCCCCAUGUCCCCAACCCGGCCCCGCGUCCCCAGCCCCAUCCCUGUAUCCCCAACCCCAUCCCUGCAUCCCCAACCCCGUCCCCAUGUCCCCACCCACGUCCCUUCAUCCCCCACCCUGUCCCUUGUCCCCCCCCCAUGUCCCCACCCCUUGUCCCCAUCUGUCCCCCCCUGUCCCCAGGACGCCCCCCAGGACCCCCCCAGCCGCCAGCCUCACAUCAGCCCGGAGCAGCGCCCCCCCGUGGUGAGGGAUGGGGACGGGAGGGGAGGGGACGCUUUGGGGACAAAAGUCUUCACCUCUGUCCCCAACCCCCCCCACCUCCCCCCAGGGCGUCGUGCCCUAUUUGGGGACGUUCCUGCGGGACCUGGUGAUGCUGGACGCCGCCAUGAAGGACGAGGUGGAGGUGGGCACCGGGCUGUCCCCGAGGGGGGGGGCUUUGGGGACACGUCUGUCCCCGUCUGCAGCUCUGUGCUCCUCCCGCAGGACGGAUGGAUCAACUUCGAGAAGCGCCGCAAGGAGUUCGAGGUGCUGGCGCAGCUGCUGGCCCUGCAGUCCUCGUGCCGCUCGUACCGCCUGCAGCCCCGGCCCCAUUUCCAGCGCUGGCUGUGGGGGCUGCGAGUCCUGCCUGAGGGGCACAGGUGGGGGGGCUGUGGGGUGGGUGCGGGGUGUCCUUGUGGGGUGGGGGACGGUACGACCCUAUGGGGUAGGGGUAUAACCCUAUGGGGGGGGGUAUAACCCUAUCGGGUGGGGGUACGGCACUAUGGGGUGGGGAAAGUCCUUAUGGGG